CAGCUGUUCUUGGUUUCAGAGCGUAUGUACUUUAUUGUGCUAUGGUAAGUUUUUUAUUGUUCAAAAUAACUGCGGAAUUUUCUAGAUGUGUUAAAGACCCAUUGGUUGCCUUCGACUGAUUCUGUCCUUGAUCUGGGCGUUGUCUCUUUUACACAAUUUCACUUUCCCCAUUUCCAGAUUCAAUUGUACAAUGCAUAAUUAUCAAUAUUAAAGAGAAGUAACAAAAGUAUCCUUAUCAUCCCAUUCAAAAAUAGCGGUGCUUAAAUUUCAAUCUGCAUGAGAAGAGAAGCGAAAGAUACCAGGGAGACUUUCAAACUCGAAAAUAAACUGACAAUGUCAUGGCUAAAAGAAAAAAGACCUACACACAAACACAAAUACAUAAAAUACAACAUAGAAAAAUAUAACUGAACAACACGACUUAACUUAAACGUUAGGAUGAUCUCCAAUGCUCUAGAAGGGUAAGCAGAUCCUUCUCCACAGAGAAGUUUAGUGUAUAUAUUGAACAUAACGUCAUUUGUGUUUAGGUUUUAUAACUGAUGUUAGCAUUUUCGUUAGCAUAUUGUUUCUUUGGCCAUCAUAUUGUCAGUAGGGCUUCGACAAAUGAUUUUGAUUAUACCUUAGUUUAAAGUUAUAUUUGUAAAAGUAUAUGGUAGAACUUAAAACAAUUAACAUUAUUUGUAACAAAAUUCAUGCAGAAUCUGUUCAAUUAAAGAGUGUUAUAUUUUUCUUAGAAAUAUUUCAAGUAAAUUGAAAGUAUAAGUUAUGUAUUUUGCAAUUAGCCUGCACUAAAUGGUAUUCAAUAAUUCAAUCUAAUUGAGAAAGAAGCAUUACUAGAACAGCUAAAAAUCUUUCUCUCAAUUCAAAUUUGAAACAUCUUAGGAAUGCAUUAUUGAAGCUUUCGAAACCUUUGACAUGAUUUGUAUAUCAAAAGUGAUACAUGCAGUAUUAGAGGUCUAAUUUUGAUCUUUUACUGUACAAAUUUUAAGUUAUUUUUACAUCAAAUAGUUUAUUUCGUUACAGGCUCAUUUACCUAAACUCAAAGAUGGAGGAAAUGAAGAUAUCUUACACCAACCAGAAAACAAUAGAAGUACAAUAAGAGAAUGUGCACCAUUACUGACAAAUCCAAAGAUCAAAUUUGGCAAAACUAAACCUGAUUAUAAAGAUAUUACAUUCAUUCAAGUGCAUCCGAAUAAACCGAGG
This 1200-nucleotide long non-coding RNA is filed under the name Mytilus galloprovincialis (Mediterranean mussel). The record is from RNAcentral. Lineage: Eukaryota; Metazoa; Mollusca; Bivalvia; Mytilida; Mytilidae.